UACGGAGGGGGCUAGCGUUGUUCGGAAUUACUGGGCGUAAAGCGCGCGUAGGCGGACCUGCAAGUCGGGGGGUGAAAGCCCGAGGCUCAACCUCGGAACUGCCUUCGAUACUGCGGGUCUCGAGUCCGGGAGAGGUGAGUGGAAUUCCUAGUGUAGAGGUGAAAUUCGUAGAUAUUAGGAAGAACACCAGUGGCGAAGGCGGCUCGCUGGAUCGGUACUGACGCUGAGGUGCGAAAGCGUGGGGGAGCAAACAGG
RNAcentral lists this ribosomal RNA (255 nucleotides) under uncultured bacterium. Its description in RNAcentral is "partial 16S ribosomal RNA". It matches the Rfam family "Bacterial small subunit ribosomal RNA", at positions 524 to 776 of the family's 1533-position model. The record is from RNAcentral.